AACGAACGCUGGCGGCAGGCCUAACACAUGCAAGUCGAGCGCGCCCUUCGGGGUGAGCGGCGGACGGGUGAGUAACGCGUGGGAACGUGCCCUUCUCUGCGGAAUAGCCUCGGGAAACUGAGAGUAAUACCGCAUACGCCCUUUGGGGGAAAGAUUUAUCGGAGAAGGAUCGGCCCGCGUUGGAUUAGGUAGUUGGUGGGGUAAUGGCCCACCAAGCCGACGAUCCAUAGCUGGUUUGAGAGGAUGAUCAGCCACACUGGGACUGAGACACGGCCCAGCCUCCUACGGGAGGCAGCAGUGGGGAAUCUUAGACAAUGGGGGCAACCCUGAUCUAGCCAUGCCGCGUGAGUGAUGAAGGCCUUAGGGUUGUAAAGCUCUUUCAGCUGGGAAGACAAUGACGGUACCAGCAGAAGAAGCCCCGGCUAACUCCGUG
This 433-nucleotide ribosomal RNA is filed under the name uncultured bacterium. Its description in RNAcentral is "partial 16S ribosomal RNA". It matches the Rfam family "Bacterial small subunit ribosomal RNA", at positions 29 to 507 of the family's 1533-position model. The record is from RNAcentral.